AGUCUGCAACUCGACUCCAUGAAGUCGGAAUCGCUAGUAAUCGCAGAUCAGAAUGCUGCGGUGAAUACGUUCCCGGGCCUUGUACACACCGCCCGUCACACCAUGGGAGUCUAUUGCACCAGAAGUAGGUAGCCUAACGAAAGAGGGCGCUUACCACGGUGUGGUCGA
Molecule: ribosomal RNA, 168 nt
Filed under: uncultured bacterium
Lineage: Bacteria
Description: partial 16S ribosomal RNA
Rfam family: Bacterial small subunit ribosomal RNA
Source: RNAcentral